AUGUACCACUCAUGCACUUGGGUUGUGAGCGCGCCGUCCACACCCACCUGGCGACUAUUGCCUACGUUUUGCCAGCU
RNAcentral lists this small RNA (77 nucleotides) under Xanthomonas floridensis. Its description in RNAcentral is "sX9 sRNA". It matches the Rfam family "Xanthomonas sRNA sX9". The record is from RNAcentral. Lineage: Bacteria; Pseudomonadati; Pseudomonadota; Gammaproteobacteria; Lysobacterales; Lysobacteraceae.